RNAcentral lists this ribosomal RNA (252 nucleotides) under uncultured bacterium. Its description in RNAcentral is "partial 16S ribosomal RNA". It matches the Rfam family "Bacterial small subunit ribosomal RNA", at positions 524 to 776 of the family's 1533-position model. The record is from RNAcentral.
UACGUAGGGUGCGAGCGUUAAUCGGAAUUACUGGGCGUAAAGCGUGCGCAGGCGGUUUGUAAGCCAGAUGUGAAAUCCCCGGGCUUAACCUGGGAAUGGCAUUUGGGACUGCAAGGCUUGAGUGCGGCAGAGGAGACUGGAAUUCCUGGUGUAGCAGUGAAAUGCGUAGAUAUCAGGAGGAAUACCGAUGGCGAAGGCAGGUCUCUGGGCUGACACUGACGCUCAUGCACGAAAGGCGUGGGAGCAAACAGG